RNAcentral lists this ribosomal RNA (253 nucleotides) under uncultured bacterium. Its description in RNAcentral is "partial 16S ribosomal RNA". It matches the Rfam family "Bacterial small subunit ribosomal RNA", at positions 524 to 776 of the family's 1533-position model. The record is from RNAcentral.
UACGUAGGUGACCAGCGUUGUCCGGAUUUACUGGGCGUAAAGAGCGCGCAGGCGGUCGUUCAAGUCGAGUGUGAAAGCCCCCGGCUCAACUGGGGAGGGUCAUUCGAUACUGAUCGACUCGAAGGCAGGAGAGGGAAGCGGAAUUCCCGGUGUAGUGGUGAAAUGCGUAGAUAUCGAGAGGAACACCUGCGGCGAAGGCGGGUUGCUGGGCUGACACUGACGCUGAUGCGCGAAAGCCAGGGGAGCGAACGGG